Molecule: long non-coding RNA, 1315 nt
Organism: Pyrus x bretschneideri (Chinese white pear)
Lineage: Eukaryota; Viridiplantae; Streptophyta; Magnoliopsida; Rosales; Rosaceae
Exons: 2
Source: RefSeq, a predicted model, not a curated record
AAGAGUUGAUUGAUUUUGAAAUCAAAUUGGAAUAGGUAAAUUAGUUUAUUUGACUCGUGAAACUAUCAUUUACUCUCACUUCAUCUUUUGAAACUGGUUUCGUCUAUUUUGUCCCAUGAAACUGUCAUUUUUGUCUUCAAUUCAUCCCAUUUUCCAUUCCAUCAAAUAUAUGUUAAAUUAAAGAAUGACAUUUUAUUUUUUAUACAACUCUUUGCCUUCAACUUGAAUACUAAAGUAACCCCAAUUUCUUAAUUGAUUUCUCUCUGCGAGAGCUAUUCCCUCCGACCCUUCUACUUCUCCAUCUGAUUGCCAUUUUGAGAGUCGACGGCUUGGAAUUUUUCUUUUUACCUUCUGCCUUCUUUUCAUACCAUAGUCCCCAUCUUGUAGCCCCUUUCCCUCAACCCCACCCCUUCCAUUUCUCCAUCACCAACCUACACAUCAAUCAAUUUCAACCAUUUUCUUCUGCACAAUCUUCCUUCUUCCUUACCCAAAAAUUAGAUCUUAAAGUUUUGGACCUAAUUUGGAAUUUCGAUUGUUGUACUUUAAGAUUUGAUUUUGGCUUAGGGUGUGCUUGCCAUUUUUGGGUUGAUUUUGUUGUGCCUUGGUAUUUGCAGAUCCACUUUGGUUUUGGUUGCUCCAUGGCAGCUACUCCGAUGGGUGAUGGCCGGAGACAUGCGACGUUGGGCUGGUUCUACUUAAUGGGGACUAAGUGGUUGGUCGGAUCGUUCAAGAGUCAUGUUUGACUUAUCCUUUGAUCGCUUGAAGAUGACGCCUAUUGCUAGUUCCGGUUGGAUGCUACAAUACCAUCUUCUACAGAUCACUUGUUGAGGCUUCGGUCUCCUCUUUGGUUCACCAGCUUCUGGCGGCGGCGGUUGCAGGAAGAUUGAAGAAGUUGCUAGGGUUUCUUGUCUUUUUCUUUUUUCUGGGCUCCAAUUUCUUUUGUUUUAUUUGUGGCCUCAUUUUUUGUAAACUUACUUGUUGGUAAUGAAAUGAACCUUGAACAAAAAAAAAAAAAAAAAAAAUGGUAAUCCCAAUUUCAUCGAAAACUCUAACUCAAACCCCUUGUCUCUUUUGCGGAUUAGUGUAGAGUUGUAGCUGCAGCCGUUGGUAAAAGCAAAUAAUUGUUUGGGUUUUAAAAGCAAAUAAUGGUUUGGGUUUUAAAAGCAAAUAAUUGUUUGUAUUUUAAAAUCUAAUUCAAGCCUUGAAUUCAACUGCUCUACAACAGCUCUGCAUCAAUCUUCAAGAGAGAUGGACGGGAGUUUGAAUUAGAGUCAUCGAAAAUGGAAAUUGAGAUUGUUUUAGCAAACAAAUUGGA